UACGUAGGGUGCAAGCGUUGUCCGGAAUUAUUGGGCGUAAAGAGCUCGUAGGUGGCCUGUCGCGUCGGCUGUGAAAACUCGGGGCUCAACUCCGAGCUUGCAGUCGAUACGGGCGGGCUAGAGUUCGGCAGGGGAGACUGGAAUUCCUGGUGUAGCGGUGAAAUGCGCAGAUAUCAGGAGGAACACCGGUGGCGAAGGCGGCAUCCUGGACCAAUUCUGACGCUGAGGAGCGAAAGCCAGGGGAGCAAACGGU
RNAcentral lists this ribosomal RNA (253 nucleotides) under uncultured bacterium. RNAcentral describes it as "partial 16S ribosomal RNA". It matches the Rfam family "Bacterial small subunit ribosomal RNA", at positions 524 to 776 of the family's 1533-position model. The record is from RNAcentral.